GCAAGAUUUCAUCCCUACAGCAGAGGACAAGGGCCUCACUUGAUCAUGCCUGCCAGUCAAGGUCGCAACCCACGGAGGGGGGACGCGCUGUUGUUCGGCAUUGGCUGCGCAAACUGCCACGCAGGAAGGCACCCUCUAUGGACGGGGAUGACCAUGAUGCAGGGGAGGAUGAGGACCGAUACAUUGAGCUCGACUACGACGGGGCACCGCACAAGGGCAUGAUGUAGUGCCCAGGAUGCUCUUCGGAUGGCUCCCAGGAUGGGAUUGAACCUAGUUGAGGUCCUUGGGAAAUCAGGCCCUCCUGUUUCCAAGAUCAUAGGCUUUCACAAAGACAAGUAUACCAAGGAUGCCAUGGAGAAAGAUCGCCUAAAAGAACAAGGUCAUAAUGUUGUACCGAGGGCAUAAAGUUGUAUCCAGGAUGGGCUUGCACCUGGUUGAGGUCCAUCGGAAAUAGGACCAUCCUGCUUGCAAGAUCAUGGACUUCCACAAAGACAAGUAUAACAAGGAUGUCAAGGAGAAAGAGCACGUAAAAACCAAGGGAAGGGAGGAGUAAAUGAGAUGGUGGGAUUGAUUCUAACCUAUCAAUGGUUGUAGUAUGUGUUGUUCAGUUGCAACAUAAGACAUGGUUGUGCAUGUUUUGAUCCUUGUUGUGGAAUCUAAACAACUCCUUGUAUAGUUUAUUUGAUUAUUACUGCCAGUAUUCUGCCUGUGA
Long non-coding RNA from Triticum dicoccoides, 712 nucleotides. RefSeq lists it as uncharacterized. Lineage: Eukaryota; Viridiplantae; Streptophyta; Magnoliopsida; Poales; Poaceae. The record is from RefSeq and is a predicted model, not a curated record. The transcript is spliced from 7 exons.